This 76-nucleotide transfer RNA is filed under the name Sphingomonas sp. RNAcentral's name for it is "tRNA-Trp". It matches the Rfam family "tRNA". From Rfam's summary of the family: Transfer RNA (tRNA) molecules are approximately 80 nucleotides in length. Their secondary structure includes four short double-helical elements and three loops (D, anti-codon, and T loops). Further hydrogen bonds mediate the characteristic L-shaped molecular structure. tRNAs have two regions of fundamental functional importance: the anti-codon, which is responsible for specific mRNA codon recognition, and the 3' end, to which the tRNAs corresponding amino acid is attached (by aminoacyl-tRNA synthetases). tRNAs cope with the degeneracy of the genetic code in two manners: having more than one tRNA (with a specific anti-codon) for a particular amino acid; and 'wobble' base-pairing, i.e. permitting non-standard base-pairing at the 3rd anti-codon position. RNAcentral also lists the same sequence under 8 other names. Lineage: Bacteria; Pseudomonadati; Pseudomonadota; Alphaproteobacteria; Sphingomonadales; Sphingomonadaceae. The record is from RNAcentral.
AGGAGUGUAGCUCAGUUGGUAGAGCAUCGGUCUCCAAAACCGAGGGUCGUGGGUUCGAGUCCCUCCACUCCUGCCA